UUUAGAGUUUUGAUUCCCGCUCAGGACGAACGCUGGCGGCGUGCCUAAUACAUGCAAGUCGAACGCUUCUUUUCCCACCGGAGCUUGCUCCACCGGGAAAAGAGGAGUGGCGAACGGGUGAGUAACACGUGGGUAACCUGCCCAUCAGAAGGGGAUAACACUUGGAAACAGGUGCUAAUACCGUAUAACAAUCGAAACCGCAUGGUUUCGUUUUGAAAGGCGCUUUACGGUGCCGCUGAUGGAUGGACCCGCGGUGCAUUAGCUAGUUGGUGAGGUAACGGCUCACCAAGGCCACGAUGCAUAGCCGACCUGAGAGGGUGAUCGGCCACAUUGGGACUGAGACACGGCCCAAACUCCUACGGGAGGCAGCAGUAGGGAAUCUUCGGCAAUGGACGAAAGUCUGACCGAGCAACGCCGCGUGAGUGAAGAAGGUUUUCGGAUCGUAAAACUCUGUUGUUAGAGAAGAACAAGGGUGAGAGUAACUGUUCACCCCUUGACGGUAUCUAACCAGAAAGCCACGGCUAACUACGUGCCAGCAGCCGCGGUAAUACGUAGGUGGCAAGCGUUGUCCGGAUUUAUUGGGCGUAAAGCGAGCGCAGGCGGUUUCUUAAGUCUGAUGUGAAAGCCCCNGGCUCAACCGGGGAGGGUCAUGGAAACUGGGAGACUGAGGC
RNAcentral lists this ribosomal RNA (671 nucleotides) under Enterococcus mundtii. RNAcentral describes it as "bacterial SSU rRNA". It matches the Rfam family "Bacterial small subunit ribosomal RNA", at positions 1 to 647 of the family's 1533-position model. Lineage: Bacteria; Bacillati; Bacillota; Bacilli; Lactobacillales; Enterococcaceae. The record is from RNAcentral.